RNAcentral lists this transfer RNA (72 nucleotides) under Caerostris extrusa. Its description in RNAcentral is "tRNA-Ala". It matches the Rfam family "tRNA". From Rfam's summary of the family: Transfer RNA (tRNA) molecules are approximately 80 nucleotides in length. Lineage: Eukaryota; Metazoa; Arthropoda; Arachnida; Araneae; Araneidae. The record is from RNAcentral.
GGGGAUGUAGCUCAGUGGUAGAGCGUUCGCUAUGCAUGCGAAAAGCCCUGGGUUCGAUCCCCAGCAUUUCUA